This 289-nucleotide ribosomal RNA is filed under the name uncultured bacterium. RNAcentral's name for it is "partial 16S ribosomal RNA". It matches the Rfam family "Bacterial small subunit ribosomal RNA", at positions 29 to 334 of the family's 1533-position model. The record is from RNAcentral.
AACGAACGCUGGCGGCACGCCUAACACAUGCAAGUCGAACGCGAACGCACCUUCGGGUGUUAUUAGAGUGGCGGACGGGUGAGUAACACGUGGGAAUAUGCCUUUCGGUACAGAACAACGCUUGGAAACGAGUGCUAAUACUGUAUACGCCCUCCGGGGGAAAGAUUUAUCGCCGAGAGAUUGGCCCGCGUUAGAUUAGCUAGUUGGUGAGGUAAUGGCUCACCAAGGCGACGAUCUAUAGCUGGUUUGAGAGGAUGAUCAGCCACACUGGGACUGAGACACGGCCCAG